Molecule: long non-coding RNA, 616 nt
Filed under: Homo sapiens (human)
Lineage: Eukaryota; Metazoa; Chordata; Mammalia; Primates; Hominidae
Description: non-protein coding lnc-CFAP99-7:1
Source: RNAcentral
CAUGACUUGUGUUGAACAAGACAAGCUGGCUGAAGCAUUUGAAGGCGCUUUUGAGGUACUGAGGUAACAUUCAACUGAUCUUCACUCCUCCCCAGAUGACAAAAAUUACCUGGCUUUCGUCAGCCACUGUCCUCAUGUCAGAGGAAAUUCCAUCUGCUAAGAAGUGUUGCCCACAGAGGAACCUGUGUAUAGCUGGAGAACCAUCAUAGCAGGAAGAAGCUCUGACCGUUUUAAUACCUUCACGAAUCCCCACAUAAUGCUAAGAUGGUGUCUUGUAUCCAGGAGUAGAUAAAACCAAAGAUGUCUUUCUGUUUGUAUUGAAAAAUAAAGAAAAACUUUAGGGAAAAAGAAAAGUCAGCCAGAACCCCAUGGCUUACUCAGAAAAUUGUCAGGGCCCUGAGGAAUUAUGGAAGAACUGGAGAAAUCACCAAAAUCCAGAGGAAGCUGACUUACCAACUUACCAAGGCCAUCCUCCAAAGACUCUAUCUUAUUUAUUAGGGAAAGCAAUCUUCUACUCACAGUAUGUUCAGCCUGAUCAAGAAUAUCUUAGUUUAAAUAACUAGAAUGCAAAUUGUAACUAUACAUGUGCCAAUUACCAUGAGUUAAGUCACCCUGA